GGCUACUGCUAUUGGGAUUCGACUAAGCCAUGCGAGUCUAUGGACUUCGGUCCAUGGCGGACGGCUCAGUAACACGUGGCUAACCUACCCUCAGGUGGGGCAUAACCUCGGGAAACUGAGGAUAAUACCCCAUAGGAAAAGAGGUUUGGAAUAAUCCUUUUCUGAAAGGAUAUCCGCCUGAGGAUGGGGCUGCGUCCGAUUAGGUAGUUGGUGGGGUAAUGGCCCACCAAGCCUACGAUCGGUACGGGCCUUGAGAGAGGGAGCCCGGAGAUGGGGACUGAGACACGGCCCCAGGCCCUACGGGGCGCAGCAGGCGCGAAACCUCCACAAUGCACGAAAGUGCGAUGGGGGAACCCCAAGUGCCUAUGCACAGCAUAGGCUUUUCCCAAGUGUAAAUAGCUUGGGGAAUAAGGGCUGGGCAAGUCCGGUGCCAGCAGCCGCGGUAACACCGGCGGCCCGAGUGGUGGACACUCUUAUUGGGCCUAAAGCGUCCGUAGCCGGUCCAGUAAGUCCCUGUUUAAAUCCUACGGCUUAACCGUAGGGCUGGCAGGGAUACUGCUGGACUUGGGACCGGGAGAGGACGAGGGUACUCCAGGGGUAGCGGUGAAAUGCGUUGAUCCCUGGAGGACCACCUAUGGCGAAGGCACUCGUCUGGAACGGGUCCGACGGUGAGGGACGAAAGCCAGGGGCGCGAACCGGAUUAGAUACCCGGGUAGUCCUGGCCGUAAACUCUGCGGACUAGGUGUCGUCUGGGCCUCGGGCCCAGGCGGUGCCGAAGGGAAGCCAUUAAGUCCGCCGCCUGGGGAGUACGGUCGCAAGACUGAAACUUAAAGGAAUUGGCGGGGGAGCACCACAACCGGGUGGAGCCUGCGGUUU
RNAcentral lists this ribosomal RNA (876 nucleotides) under uncultured archaeon. Its description in RNAcentral is "bacterial SSU rRNA". It matches the Rfam family "Archaeal small subunit ribosomal RNA", at positions 22 to 903 of the family's 1478-position model. The record is from RNAcentral.